This 254-nucleotide ribosomal RNA is filed under the name uncultured prokaryote. Its description in RNAcentral is "partial 16S ribosomal RNA". It matches the Rfam family "Bacterial small subunit ribosomal RNA", at positions 524 to 777 of the family's 1533-position model. The record is from RNAcentral.
GACGUAGGGCGCGAGCGUUGUCCGGAUUUAUUGGGCGUAAAGAGCUCGUAGGCGGUUCGUCGCGUCAACCGUGAAAACCUGUGGCUCAACCACAGGCCUGCGGUUGAUACGGGCGGGCUAGAGUUCGGUAGGGGAGACUGGAAUUCCUGGUGUAGCGGUGAAAUGCGCAGAUAUCAGGAGGAACACCGGUGGCGAAGGCGGGUCUCUGGGCCGAUACUGACGCUGAGGAGCGAAAGCGUGGGGAGCGAACAGGA